UACGUAGGGGGCAAGCGUUGUCCGGAAUCAUUGGGCGUAAAGAGCGUGUAGGCGGCCCGAUAAGUCCGCUGUGAAAGUCCAGGGCUCAACCCUGGGAUGCCGGUGGAUACUGUCGGGCUCGAGUCCGGAAGAGGAGUGUGGAAUUCCUGGUGUAGCGGUGAAAUGCGCAGAUAUCAGGAGGAACACCAAUGGCGAAGGCGGCACUCUGGGACGUGACUGACGCUGAGACGCGAAAGCGUGGGGAGCGAACAGG
This 253-nucleotide ribosomal RNA is filed under the name uncultured bacterium. RNAcentral describes it as "partial 16S ribosomal RNA". It matches the Rfam family "Bacterial small subunit ribosomal RNA", at positions 524 to 776 of the family's 1533-position model. The record is from RNAcentral.